Molecule: non-coding RNA, 45 nt
Filed under: Schistosoma mattheei
Lineage: Eukaryota; Metazoa; Platyhelminthes; Trematoda; Strigeidida; Schistosomatidae
Source: RNAcentral
CUCCAACUGACGAGUCUCAAAUAGGAUGAAACACGAGUCCUGGAU